UUAACUAUUGUAUAGUACUCAGACGACACUAACGUUCGGGUUGAGGGUCCUCUGGCGGGCGCGUCCCAGCCGGAGCCGGUGCCCGAGGGCGGCCCGCCAAAGCAACAGGGUACAAGAACACACGGGUGGGAGGUCUACCCUCUCGGGCAGGAACACUCUGUAAUGAUCCUUCCGCAGGUUCACCUACGGAAA
This 192-nucleotide unclassified non-coding RNA is filed under the name uncultured fungus. RNAcentral describes it as "sequence contains ITS1". Lineage: Eukaryota; Fungi. The record is from RNAcentral.